Molecule: ribosomal RNA, 1382 nt
Filed under: Baudoinia panamericana
Lineage: Eukaryota; Fungi; Ascomycota; Dothideomycetes; Mycosphaerellales; Teratosphaeriaceae
Description: eukaryotic LSU rRNA
Rfam family: Eukaryotic large subunit ribosomal RNA
Source: RNAcentral
GUUGACCUCGGAUCAGGUAGGGAUACCCGCUGAACUUAAGCAUAUCAAUAAGCGGAGGAAAAGAAACCAACAGGGAUUGCCCUAGUAACGGCGAGUGAAGCGGCAACAGCUCAAAUUUGAAAUCUGGCGCAAGCCCGAGUUGUAAUUUGUAGAGGAUGCUUCUGGGCAGCGGCUAGUCUAAGUCCUUUGGAACCGGGCGUCACAGAAGGUGAGAAUCCCGUAUGUGAUUAGCAUGCACCCGUCACGUAGCUCCUUCGACGAGUCGAGUUGUUUGGGAAUGCAGCUCUAAAUGGGAGGGAAAUUCCUUGUAAAGCUAAAUACCGGCCAGAGACCGAUAGCGCACAAGUAGAGUGAUCGAAAGAUGAAAAGCACUUUGAAAAGAGAGUUAAAAAGCACGUGAAAUUGUUGAAAGGGAAGCGCAUACAACCAGACUUGUCGGCGGUGUUCCGCCGGUCUUCUGACCGGUCUACUCGCCGCCGGCAGGCCAGCAUCGUUUGGGCGCGCCAGAUAAAGGUUUGGGGCGGCGGUUCGCCGUUGCCCCUUACACAAUACGGCGCCGCCCGAGCGAGGUCCGCGCUUCGGCAAGGAUGCUGGCGUAAUGGUUGCGUGCGGCCCGUCUUGAAACACGGACCAAAGAGUCUAACAUCUAUGCGAGUGUUCGGGUGUCAAACCCCUACGCGUAAUGAAAGUGAACGGAGGUGGGAACGCAAGUGCACCAUCGACCGAUCCUGAUGUCUUCGGAUGGAUUUGAGUAAGAGCAUAGCUGUUGGGACCCGAAAGAUGGUGAACUAUGCCUGAAUAGGGUGAAGCCAGAGGAAACUCUGGUGGAGGCUCGCAGCGGUUCUGACGUGCAAAUCGAUCGUCAAAUUUGGGUAUAGGGGCGAAAGACUAAUCGAACCAUCUAGUAGCUGGUUCCUGCCGAAGUUUCCCUCAGGAUAGCCGCCACGCCUCCAGUUUUAUGACGUAAAGCGAAUGAUUAGAGGCCGUGGGGCUGAAACAGCCUUAACCUAUUCUCAAAUCUUUUGAAUAUGUAAGAAGUCCGUGUUACUUAGUUGGACGUGGACAUUUGAAUGAUCGUUACCAGUGGGCCAUUUUUGGUAAGCAGAACUGGCGAUGCGGGAUGAACCGAACGCGAGGUUAAGGUGCCGGAAUACACGCUCAUCAGACACCACUAAAGGUGUUAGUUCAUCUAGACAGCAGGACGGUGGCCAUGGAAGUCGGAAUCCGCUAAGGAGUGUGUAACAACUCACCUGCCGAAUGAACUAGCCCUGAAAAUGGAUGGCGCUCAAGCGUGUUACCCAUACCUCGCCGUCGGGGUAGAAACGAUGCCCCGACGAGUAGGCAGGCGUGGAGGUCCCGUGACGAAGUCUUGGGGUACCCCG